Molecule: ribosomal RNA, 476 nt
Filed under: uncultured Alphaproteobacteria bacterium
Lineage: Bacteria; Pseudomonadati; Pseudomonadota; Alphaproteobacteria
Description: bacterial SSU rRNA
Rfam family: Bacterial small subunit ribosomal RNA
Source: RNAcentral
GAGUUUGAUCAUGGCUCAGAACGAACGCUGGCGGCAUGCCUAACACAUGCAAGUCGAACGUGAUCCAGGCUUCGGUCUGGUGAAAGUGGCAGACGGGUGAGUAACGCGUGGGAAUCUGCCCUUGGGUUCGGAAUAACAGUUAGAAAUGACUGCUAAUACCGGAUGAAGUCUUCGGACCAAAGAUUUAUCGCCCAGGGAUGAGCCCGCGUAGGAUUAGGUAGUUGGUGGGGUAAUGGCCUACCAAGCCGACGAUCCUUAGCUGGUCUGAGAGGAUGAUCAGCCACACUGGGACUGAGACACGGCCCAGACUCCUACGGGAGGCAGCAGUGGGGAAUAUUGGACAAUGGGCGCAAGCCUGAUCCAGCAAUGCCGCGUGAGUGAUGAAGGCCUUAGGGUUGUAAAGCUCUUUUACCAGGGAUGAUAAUGACAGUACCUGGAGAAUAAGCUCCGGCUAACUCCGUGCCAGCAGCCGCAGU